Molecule: ribosomal RNA, 496 nt
Filed under: uncultured bacterium
Lineage: Bacteria
Description: partial 16S ribosomal RNA
Rfam family: Bacterial small subunit ribosomal RNA
Source: RNAcentral
GAUGAACGCUGGCGGCGUGCCUAAUACAUGCAAGUCGAGCGAACGGACGAGAAGCUUGCUUUUCUGAUGUUAGCGGCGGACGGGUGAGUAACACGUGGAUAACCUACCUAUAAGACUGGGAUAACUUCGGGAAACCGGAGCUAAUACCGGAUAAUAUUUUGAACCGCAUGGUUCAAAAGUGAAAGACGGUCUUGCUGUCACUUAUAGAUGGAUCCGCGCUGCAUUAGCUAGUUGGUAAGGUAACGGCUUACCAGGGCAACGAUGCAUAGCCGACCUGAGAGGGUGAUCGGCCACACUGGAACUGAGACACGGUCCAGACUCCUACGGGAGGCAGCAGUCGGGAAUCUUCCGCAAUGGGCGAAAGCCUGACGGAGCAACGCCGCGUGAGUGAUGAAGGUCUUCGGAUCGUAAAACUCUGUUAUUAGGGAAGAACAUAUGUGUAAGUAACUGUGCACAUCUUGACGGUACCUAAUCAGAAAGCCACGGCUAACUACGU